UAGCACCCUGCAACAGCGUUCAUCAU
Molecule: non-coding RNA, 26 nt
Filed under: Mus musculus (house mouse)
Lineage: Eukaryota; Metazoa; Chordata; Mammalia; Rodentia; Muridae
Source: RNAcentral